CGAAGCAUGUUUUCAGAAAAAUCAUGUGCAAUAACUCCUGAAUAGGUCCUGGAUUUGCUAAAUUUCCGGGAAAACAAACCACUCCCACAACUAACAUCUACAAGAACACCACCUUUUGUUGGUUUGAACAAUUCCUGAGCCAUCUUGAACUGCAAACUUUUAAAUUCAUAAUUAAGUCAUGUAGCAAUAAGCAUUCAUUUAUGGAAACUGAUAUAAGUGUUGUGUUACUGUGCUGAAGUGAAUUGUGGAACAUAGGGGUUAUCAUUAACUAGGCAUACAGACAUGAUAUGUGUUAAACAAAUGUACUAAAACAGGUAUAUUAUCAUCUCACAGAAUCUGACCACUUCAGUAAUAUAUUAUCUUCACUUCAAGUACUACCAAAUUGACUACACAAAUUUUAUUAGCUAUAAGAAUGCAUUAAGUCAAACCAGGUCCACCACCAAAGAAAAGUCGGCGAUCAUUGUAGAUCUGUGUCAAACAAACCAUUAAGUCAAUAUGUCCUCAAAUGUACACAACAAUAAAUAUUUCCCCCAAAACAUAAAUUCAUUCACCCAGUAUUUUACCUUUUUGGGCUUUUGAAACUGAACCAUACUCUGUUUCAGAUUAUUUAGAGGUCCUUCCACUAAACACUCGUGCUCCUGACCAAACAAAGAUACAAAAUGAGAUGCAAGUUGGCAGGCAGUAAAAGUGAUAAAUAGAGCCUAGUGAAGCCUGGAAAAAAUAAAUCCCCUGUUUCCUUGGCCACUUUAUAAGAGCUGGUUCUAUGUCCAUAUCCAUCUCCUCCUCAGGAUCCUCUUCAACCACAUUAGGAGGUUGCGGCAAUAAAAUGAUUCUAGCUUCAGAAACUGUAUAUUAAAUGUAACGAGAAAUAGAAGAGUGAACAUUAUAGAUAAAAGCCUGAAUAGGAUCUCAAAAAUGAACCAUACUUGCAAACACAAAGUUUGUAAUGAUGAACAAUACCGACAUCGGGGACAUCACAACUUCAGAUGCGACAGCUUCUGCUUCUUGGCUCAGUGCUAGUGCACAGGCUUCUGCUGAUGCUAAUUGCAAUGAAUUAUCAUCUUCCUUCAAGUUUGAAUGGCUGAACCCCUUGGCAGUAUCUUCCAAUUCGCUAAUUUUGCAAAGACUUCUAUUGCCUGUAGUCUUCACAUCAGCCAACGUAAUAGAGCGAGUUACUUUCUUUGAACUUGAUGAUUUCAGAGAAGGUCUGAGCACACUGGCAUUAGAUUGAGCUACUUUUCCGGUAUAGGAUCCCUUUUCAACUUCUGUAGCAUCCACACUAGGACAACUUUGGCAUUCAGAAAGGCUAUUAGAUACUUCUGCUAUAUGCAGCUUGUCAUUCAUGUUGAUUACAAUCUGUUAUAUGUACCAUCAACGUUAAGAGUCAGAAACAGGACCAAUGAAGUCCAUAACACUGGACUAAAGUAUCACCAAUAUUACAAGGCAUUUGGGUACCACAUGAUAAGCAACACAAGAUAAAUUUGUUAAAAGAAACAAAAAGUUUUACAACUUUAAAAUGUGAUUAAAGAAUACCUGAUUCCCACAAUUAUCUUGAAAUCAUCUUCUAAUGACCUUUUGAUGUAUUUUUGAAAAUCAAACUUACUUCCAGGUGCUAAAUGAACCUAUAAUUAAGAACAAUUGAUUAACCCAAUUACAAACGCAAUAUUGUUUAUAGAAAUUAUAGGUACUACACAACUUACUGAGAUAAAUUCGUGCCGCAUUGUUAAGUAAUCAGCUUUACGAACAGACCUAAUAAACUGCCGAAAGAAGCAUACCUGAAAUGGUUAAAUGCACCAGGGAAAGCAGUGUUUUGUAGUAAUAUAUACUCGACCAUUGGAAGUGCAAUAUCAACAGAGGCCACAUCCGACUCACUAAAAAAAUCACAUUUUAAUAAAACGAAAUUAAAAUAGACCUGGCCAGGAAAUAGGAAAGCAGAGGUGGGCUUGUAAUCCGAGAAAAAGGCAUCAUUAGCAGCAGUUUGAGAUACAACAGAGACGCUCAUAAAAGCCAUAGAUUUAUCCAAAUUUCUCAAACCAAAACCUCAAAUUCCAUGCUUGAAACCCAUGAAACAAACCGAACUAAAGCUCCUCAACGAUUCUGAAGCUUCAAAAAUGGCGAGAUUUUGAGGAGAAAUGAAAGGGAAAAGGAGAGAGGAACUCAUCUGCAUCAGCCCUAUCUUGUCGGUCAUAUUUCAGACAACGUCAUACCAAUCAACGUCAUACCGAAGUUGUGAGCAGCAUUAGCAAUUCCCGAUUCUCUACAAGCAUCACCAGCGACGGCGGCAUCGACACACCAGACUUCGACGAACUGGACAGGUCAAUGUUUCCUCCUUUUAGAAUAGCAGUCAUCAAAUCGAAUGGAGACACAGCUUGAGUAUCGCCGAUGAGGCGUUCGUUCGCACAGAACUGUGGCCAUUCUUUUAGAAUAUAUAAAACCAACAUCGCAGAGAGAGAAAGUACAGAGAUAGGAGAGAGAAGAAAGUAGAUCUAAACCAUGUUCGCAUAGAACUGUGGAGUUAGGGUUUGAGGAUUUUGAAAAGGGGAAGGAAACAAAGGAACGGCAAUGCCUCCGUGUUUUUUAAAGGAGGGUUUGAGG
Molecule: long non-coding RNA, 2595 nt
Filed under: Panax ginseng (ginseng)
Lineage: Eukaryota; Viridiplantae; Streptophyta; Magnoliopsida; Apiales; Araliaceae
Description: long non-coding RNA (PGIN_LNC000424)
Source: RNAcentral